CUGAAGGGCCUCACACUAAUAUCAUAGACUAACAUACUAACACACCAAUAUCACAGACCUCAUAUUAACAUCAUAUACUAACUUAUCAAUAUCACAGACCUCAUACUAACAUCACAUACUAACAAACUAACAUCACAGACCUCAUACUAACAUCACAUACUAACACACCAACAUCACAGAUCUCAUACUAACAUUACAUACUAAUAUACCAGUAUCACAGACCUCGUACUAACAUCACAGACCUCAUACUAACAUCACAUACUAACAAACUAACAUCACAGACUUCAUACUGACAUCACAGAUCUCAUACUAACAUCUACACAAACCUUGUAAGCCCUGCAGGAAUUCAUACUAACAUCACAUACUAACAUACUAAUAUCAUAGACCUUAUACUAAUAUCUACACAGACCUUGUAAGCCCUGCAGGGCCUGGUGAGACCUUGGCCCAAACCACAGCUCCUCUCUGAGUCAUGGUACAGUAGAGCUGGGGGUGGGAGCAGAAAGAACAUCUUCACAGUGUCUUGGUGUGCAGAGGAACCCGCUGGUUGGCUUCCGGCCAACCCUGUGAAAGGUCGUUUAACCCAGAGGUCUGGACCCACAUGAAGACUCCAAAUGGCCUGCGGUUCAGGUAACAGGGACAUGAGGACCAUUCCCACCACAGCUUUCCUCUCCCUUCGCUCUAUGAUGCCAAAAUGAGACCUGGCAACCGACAUAUGCAAACCUGAUUAGCUCCCAGGGUUGGACCAUUCCCUAGAGAGGGAGGAAGACAGGAACACAGGGAGGGUUGCAUGGUUAAUCUGAUGGCACUGGAAGCAGUACAGAGCACAUCUUGGCAGCACUUGGGAUCCUGAAGCAGGAAUGUUGUAUGAGUUCCAGAUCUACCACUCUGGGUUGCAUUCACCCCAGUCCAGCCUGUCUCAAAGAAACAAACAACAAAAACCUAUGCAACAAACACAUCUUGGAUUCCCCAAGGACUCCAUGAACACACCUCUAUGUACAAGUGCAUGUGCACCCUAUGUGCUUAUUAUAUGUUGAUAUGUAGUAGGUAUGUCACAGCUGGCAUGUACUUAUCAACAUCACAUCAUCAGAUGGGUGAUAAAGACCCGUGGUUUAUAG
Non-coding RNA from Peromyscus maniculatus bairdii (prairie deer mouse), 1115 nucleotides. The record is from RefSeq and is a predicted model, not a curated record. NCBI's taxonomy places the organism in Eukaryota, Metazoa, Chordata, Mammalia, Rodentia, Cricetidae.